This 75-nucleotide transfer RNA is filed under the name Candidatus Bathyarchaeota archaeon. Its description in RNAcentral is "tRNA-Gly". It matches the Rfam family "tRNA". From Rfam's summary of the family: Transfer RNA (tRNA) molecules are approximately 80 nucleotides in length. Their secondary structure includes four short double-helical elements and three loops (D, anti-codon, and T loops). The record is from RNAcentral. Lineage: Archaea; Thermoproteati; Candidatus Bathyarchaeota.
GCGACCGUAGUCUAGAGGCUAUGAUUUCUGCCUGCCACGCAGACGGCCCGGGUUCAAAUCCCGGCGGUCGCACCA